RNAcentral lists this non-coding RNA (132 nucleotides) under Buttiauxella agrestis. RNAcentral's name for it is "MoCo sequence". It matches the Rfam family "Molybdenum/Tungsten riboswitch aptamer (Moco RNA motif)". Lineage: Bacteria; Pseudomonadati; Pseudomonadota; Gammaproteobacteria; Enterobacterales; Enterobacteriaceae. RNAcentral also lists the same sequence under 1 other name. The record is from RNAcentral.
GGAUAUAAAACACACUAAGCCUCUGGACCUAAGUCGAAAGAUACGGUGCUUUGGCCGUGACCUUGAGUCACCAGGGUGCAGUAAGAAAUGACUGCAUCUCCCGUAUUUGGAAGGUGUACAUGGCUACCCAAC